RNAcentral lists this ribosomal RNA (724 nucleotides) under uncultured Fusobacterium sp. Its description in RNAcentral is "bacterial SSU rRNA". It matches the Rfam family "Bacterial small subunit ribosomal RNA", at positions 28 to 776 of the family's 1533-position model. Lineage: Bacteria; Fusobacteriati; Fusobacteriota; Fusobacteriia; Fusobacteriales; Fusobacteriaceae. The record is from RNAcentral.
GAUGAACGCUGACAGAAUGCUUAACACAUGCAAGUCGACUCGAGUCUUCGGACUUGGGUGGCGCACGGGUGAGUAACGCGUAAAGAACUUGCCUCUUAGACCGGGACAACAUCUGGAAACGGAUGCUAAUACCGGAUAUUAUGGUUUUUUCGCAUGGAGGAAUCAUGAAAGCUAGAUGCGCUAAGAGAGAGCUCUGCGUCCCAUUAGCUAGUUGGUGAGGUAACGGCCCACCAAGGCAAUGAUGGGUAGCCGGCCUGAGAGGGUGAACGGCCACAAGGGGACUGAGACACGGCCCUUACUCCUACGGGAGGCAGCAGUGGGGAAUAUUGGACAAUGGACCACAAGUCUGAUCCAGCAAUUCUGUGUGCACGAUGACGUUUUUCGGAAUGUAAAGUGCUUUCAGUCGGGAAGAAGUCAGUGACGGUACCGACAGAAGAAGCGACGGCUAAAUACGUGCCAGCAGCCGCGGUAAUACGUAUGUCGCAAGCGUUAUCCGGAUUUAUUGGGCGUAAAGCGCGUCUAGGCGGCAAGGAAAGUCUGAUGUGAAAAUGCGGAGCUCAACUCCGUAUGGCGUUGGAAACUGCCUUACUAGAGUACUGGAGAGGUAGGCGGAACUACAAGUGUAGAGGUGAAAUUCGUAGAUAUUUGUAGGAAUGCCGAUGGGGAAGCCAGCCUACUGGACAGAUACUGACGCUAAAGCGCGAAAGCGUGGGUAGCAAACAGG